Molecule: unclassified non-coding RNA, 304 nt
Filed under: uncultured Pleosporales
Lineage: Eukaryota; Fungi; Ascomycota; Dothideomycetes; Pleosporales
Description: sequence contains ITS1
Rfam family: 5.8S ribosomal RNA (bases 1-105)
Source: RNAcentral
GAAAUGCGAUAAGUAGUGUGAAUUGCAGAAUUCAGUGAAUCAUCGAAUCUUUGAACGCACAUUGCGCCCCUUGGUAUUCCAUGGGGCAUGCCUGUUCGAGCGUCAUUUGUACCCUCAAGCUAUGCUUGGUGUUGGGUGUUUGUCCUCUCCCUUGCGUUUGGACUCGCCUUAAAGAAAUUGGCAGCCAGUGUAUUGGUAUAGAAGCGCAGCACAAUUUGCGACUCUAGCUAAUAAUUACUUGCAACCAUCAAGUCUAUUUAACACUUUUGACCUCGGAUCAGGUAGGGAUACCCGCUGAACUUAA